GAUGAACGCUGGCGGCGUGCCUAAUACAUGCAAGUCGAGCGAACAGACGAGGAGCUUGCUCCUCUGACGUUAGCGGCGGACGGGUGAGUAACACGUGGAUAACCUACCUAUAAGACUGGGAUAACUUCGGGAAACCGGAGCUAAUACCGGAUAAUAUAUUGAACCGCAUGGUUCAAUAGUGAAAGACGGUUUUGCUGUCACUUAUAGAUGGAUCCGCGCCGCAUUAGCUAGUUGGUAAGGUAACGGCUUACCAAGGCAACGAUGCGUAGCCGACCUGAGAGGGUGAUCGGCCACCCUGGAACUGCGACACGGUCCAGACUCCUACGGGAGGCAGCAGUAGGGAAUCUUCCGCAAUGGGCGAAAGCCUGACGGAGCAACGCCGCGUGAGUGAUGAAGGUCUUCGGAUCGUAAAACUCUGUUAUUAGGGAAGAACAAAUGUGUAAGUAACUAUGCACGUCUUGACGGUACCUAAUCAGAAAGCCACGGCUAACUACGUG
RNAcentral lists this ribosomal RNA (497 nucleotides) under uncultured bacterium. RNAcentral describes it as "partial 16S ribosomal RNA". It matches the Rfam family "Bacterial small subunit ribosomal RNA", at positions 28 to 507 of the family's 1533-position model. The record is from RNAcentral.